GCGGGGGUCGCCAAGUCUGGUCAAAGGCGCAGGGCUUAGAACCCUGUCCCGAAGGGGUUCGUGGGUUCGAAUCCCACCCCCCGCACCA
This 88-nucleotide transfer RNA is filed under the name Candidatus Bathyarchaeota archaeon. Its description in RNAcentral is "tRNA-Leu". It matches the Rfam family "tRNA". Rfam says of the family: Transfer RNA (tRNA) molecules are approximately 80 nucleotides in length. The record is from RNAcentral. Lineage: Archaea; Thermoproteati; Candidatus Bathyarchaeota. RNAcentral also lists the same sequence under 1 other name.